This 1077-nucleotide ribosomal RNA is filed under the name human gut metagenome. RNAcentral describes it as "bacterial LSU rRNA". It matches the Rfam family "Bacterial large subunit ribosomal RNA", at positions 1326 to 2488 of the family's 2925-position model. The record is from RNAcentral.
AAUCAUAAUGGCCGAAAAUCUAAGGUUUCCUGAGGAAGGUUCGUCCGCUCAGGGUUAGUCGGGAGCUAAGGUCAGGCGGAAACGCGUAGCCGAUGCACAUACGGUAGAAAUUCCGUAACCUCCGAAGAUUUAAGCACAGGGACGCUUUUGAAGGGCUGAGCAGGGAGUUGGUUUCCUGUCGUAAGGGACGCGUAAGCGGAAGUCAGUUUGGAAAGAGACGAGAAAAGCUGUGUGUAUAUGGAAGGAGCCCGUACCGCAAACCGACACAGGUAGAUAGGAAGAAGAUUCUAAGGCCAGCGGGAGAAGGGUUGUUAAGGAACUCGGCAAGUUGACCCCGUAACUUCGGGAGAAGGGGUGCUUACGAAGGUAAGCCGCAGAGAAUAGGCCCAAGCGACUGUUUAGCAAAAACACAGCUCUAUGCUAAAUCGAAAGAUGACGUAUAUGGGGUGACACCUGCCCGGUGCUGGAAGGUUAAGAGGAGAUGUGAGAGCAUUGAAUUGAAGCCCCAGUAAACGGCGGCCGUAACUAUAACGGUCCUAAGGUAGCGAAAUUCCUUGUCAGGUAAGUUCUGACCCGCACGAAUGGCGUAAUGAUCUGGGAGCUGUCUCAACUGCCCGCCCGGCGAAAUUGUAGUACCGGUGAAGAUGCCGGUUACCCGCGACUAGACGGAAAGACCCCAUGGAGCUUCACUGCAGCUUAAUAUUGAAUUUUGGUAUUUCAUGUACAGGAUAGGUGGGAGACUGGGAAAUACAGGCGUCAGCUUGUAUGGAGUCGCUGUUGGGAUACCACUCUUGAAGUGCUGAAAUUCUAACCUGUGGCCUUGAAUCAGGUCAGGGGACAUUGUUAGGCGGGCAGUUUGACUGGGGCGGUCGCCUCCUAAAAGGUAACGGAGGCGCUCAAAGGUUCGCUCAGCAUGGACGGAAACCAUGCCAGAGAGUGUAAACGCAAAAGCGAGCCUAACUGCGAGACUGACGGGUCGAGCAGUAACGAAAGUUGGAGUUAGUGAUCCGGCGGUAUGAGAGUGGAAAUGCCGUCGCUCAACGGAUAAAAGCUACCCUGGGGAUAACAGGCUGAUCU